This 471-nucleotide ribosomal RNA is filed under the name uncultured Pusillimonas sp. Its description in RNAcentral is "bacterial SSU rRNA". It matches the Rfam family "Bacterial small subunit ribosomal RNA", at positions 329 to 794 of the family's 1533-position model. Lineage: Bacteria; Pseudomonadati; Pseudomonadota; Betaproteobacteria; Burkholderiales; Alcaligenaceae. The record is from RNAcentral.
AUUCAGAUUCGGGAGGCAGCAGUGGGGAAUUUUGGACAAUGGGGGCAACCCUGAUCCAGCCAUCCCGCGUGUGCGAUGAAGGCCUUCGGGUUGUAAAGCACUUUUGGCAGGGAAGAAACGCUUUCCCCUAAUACGGGGAAGCACUGACGGUACCUGCAGAAUAAGCACCGGCUAACUACGUGCCAGCAGCCGCGGUAAUACGUAGGGUGCAAGCGUUAAUCGGAAUUACUGGGCGUAAAGCGUGCGCAGGCGGUUCGGAAAGAAAGGUGUGAAAUCCCAGGGCUUAACCUUGGAACGGCACUUUUAACUCCCGAGCUAGAGUAUGUCAGAGGGGGGUAGAAUUCCACGUGUAGCAGUGAAAUGCGUAGAGAUGUGGAGGAAUACCGAUGGCGAAGGCAACCCCCUGGGAUAAUACUGACGCUCAUGCACGAAAGCGUGGGGAGCAAACAGGAUUAGAUACCCUGGUAGAAU